UCGGGAAUAUUGCGCAAUGGAGGAAACUCUGACGCAGUGACGCCGCGUAUAGGAAGAAGGUUUUCGGAUUGUAAACUAUUGUCGUUAGGGAAGAAAAAAGACAGUACCUAAGGAGGAAGCCCCGGCUAACUAUGUGCCAGCAGCCGCGGUAAUACAUAGGGAGCAAGCGUUAUCCGGAUUUAUUGGGUGUAAAGGGUGCGUAGACGGGAAAGCAAGUUAGUUGUGAAAUCCCUCGGCUUAACUGAGGAACUGCAACUAAAACUGUUUUUCUUGAGUGUCGGAGAGGAAAGUGGAAUUCCUAGUGUAGCGGUGAAAUGCGUAGAUAUUAGGAGGAACACCAGUGGCGAAGGCGACUUUCUGGACGAUAACUGACGUUGAGGCACGAAAGUGUGGGGAGCAAACAGG
RNAcentral lists this ribosomal RNA (405 nucleotides) under uncultured bacterium. RNAcentral describes it as "bacterial SSU rRNA". It matches the Rfam family "Bacterial small subunit ribosomal RNA", at positions 355 to 776 of the family's 1533-position model. The record is from RNAcentral.